AUGUAUGGUUAUUUGUUUAGCACUAAAAGCAUAGUUGGUUGUUAUCUUGUCCAAAUUGAUUUUCGGUGCCAUAUGAAUGCUGUCAGUUGGUUAUUACAUGAGACAAUUGCUUAUUUACCAUUGACAAGCUCGGUCAUUGCUCAUUUGCCAUCGAACAAACUAGCGUUGCUCUUGUACCGCUUACAAGCUUGUUUCGUUGCUAAUUUGCCAUCAGCCGUUUACUUGGUGUUAGCCACUUCUGUUAAAGUAAGCAAAAUGACGAUUUUACCCUCAAUGGCAAAUGAGCAACCUUACCUAUUGUUCCUUUUAACCAUGUUGAAGCACUUCUGUUCAAAUUAUCAUAACAUAUUGUGA
This 354-nucleotide ribosomal RNA is filed under the name Triticum aestivum (bread wheat). Its description in RNAcentral is "partial small subunit ribosomal RNA". The record is from RNAcentral. Lineage: Eukaryota; Viridiplantae; Streptophyta; Magnoliopsida; Poales; Poaceae.